This 323-nucleotide long non-coding RNA is filed under the name Taeniopygia guttata (zebra finch). RNAcentral describes it as "lncRNA (ENSTGUG00000020349.1)". The record is from RNAcentral. Lineage: Eukaryota; Metazoa; Chordata; Aves; Passeriformes; Estrildidae.
GGGGUUUUUUAGCUGCCCAAAAUCUCUCUGAAUGACAAUUUCUGUCUUGCUCUUCACCACGACCCUCCUGUAUCACCUGAACACAGUGGUGAGCUUAAAGCACAGCUGAGUGAGAGAACAUGAUCAAGAUAAUUGGCCAUGCUGAGAUAACUGACUUCACUGUUGGAAAGACACCUUGGAUAAAUUGGCAUGGCAAGUCAGCUGGAAAUUCAGAGUGCCAGGAGGGAAGUCCAAACUUACUUUGCAGAAGAAGGUUCUGCUGUUUCACUGAUCUGAAAAAUCCUGUGCAUCCCUCGGUGGUUUCACCUUGCACUCAGGUAUAA